Molecule: long non-coding RNA, 1830 nt
Organism: Drosophila sulfurigaster albostrigata
Lineage: Eukaryota; Metazoa; Arthropoda; Insecta; Diptera; Drosophilidae
Exons: 3
Source: RefSeq, a predicted model, not a curated record
AUGUACAUAUAUGGUUUAAGACAGAUUAGGGCAGGCACAACAAUGGACAACAACAAUGGGAACGAAACUUGCAGACGUCACAAACUGAUAAGCAACAGCAGCAGCAGCAGCAGCAAUGAGCGAGCGAGAAAGCGAGAAGCAGACAAGGAACAAGAGAGACAGAGUCGGGUCUGUACUUCUUCUUGUUGUUAGGAUUUCGGAAAAUUUUCCGAAUUGAUAAGAGCAUUUUUAAAUACAUUUUGCGAGCGAUCCCUAGCAUCAGAUAGUAUGCUAUAUAUGCUAUAUAUAAAUACAAUAUGUUUACAAAAAAAAUUCCCCUCGCCGAAUCCCAAAAUGCACUCAACAACGCCUGGAAUUCGAUAUGAUAUGAUAGCUAGGGAUAGAUAUGAGUACGACUUUGAAUACCAAGAACACUAAAGAAUCAAUCCAAUUAUGAUUUAUCUAUAAGAAUUUCGCUGGAAUCUAGAAUCACAAAAGUUGAAUGGAAUCACGUGACUAAGUGAAAUGACGAAACUCAUUCAAGAAUAGAUCAACAAUAUGAUAUUGUAUCGAACAUAUCAAUCUUAUCAUUCCAUGCAAACAACGUCAAAUUGUUUUGCCAUAUCAGAUCAAUGUUUUCAUUUCUGUUUCUGUCUCAUUUUGUUUUUUUUUGUUUGUCUAUUUUUAAAAUUCCAGUUUAAUGACUGUACUGUAUAAUAGUCGCAACUUCCAGUUGAGGGGAGGAAAUGGAAAAUUUGCCAAUGAAAGAGAAAAUAAAAGAAAAGUAUUUGAAUUGAGCAUUGCAUGUGAAGGCGAAUGCGAAUGCGAAUGUAAUAUGCAUAUGACUCAGCGGCCAUUUGCAGCAGCGAGUGCCGACUCACUUUGUUGUCGUCCCCUUGACCUUCAGUUGUUGUGGCGCAAGGGAAACAAACAAAGUUUCACCAACCUCUCUCUCUCUCUCUUUAUAUCCCAACUACCAUAUAUGUACAUAUAUCAUCCAUAGUAUCCACAUCUACCACCCACUAAUCACUCUCCAGCCCUAAUCAUUCUCUAGCCCUGGCCACCUUCAUUCCAUACACACACACACACACACAUGUACACACGCAUACAAUUUCCGUUCACUAAUUACACAAACAAAUAGCAAAGAAGCAAGUGAAUAAAGAACAAAAAUAAAUAUAAUACACAAUAAACAAAACAGACGCCAAAAUGGCAGGCAAAUUGAACAAUAGAAACCAAAUGGAAUUUAUCUACAUAUGUAUAUAUGUAUAUUCAUUAUGCUUCUUCUUCUUAUUAUUGAACAUUCGAAUAUGGAAGAAAGCCGACUCUGAUGAUUGAAAAUCAAUGAAAAUAAUAAUGUGAUUAGAAUUUCGUAGUGGGAAUUGCAUUAAAAAAAUAUAGAUAUAUGGCGGCAAAAUAAAGAAAAUGGCAAAUUACUAAUCCAUUUUGAUAAGGACAAAUCUACAGAAGAUCGAUGAAAUUGUCAAUUAAUAUUUAAUGCAAUCAACAGUAAAUGCAAUACAAUAAUUGUGUGAUUCAAGCAUCUGUUAAAAAAAGAAAUAUCCAGUUCGAUCGAAUAGAAACUGCAUCAAAAAUUAAUAAAUCGUCGAACAGUAAAUCGGUGAAAAGGUUAAUUAAUAAAUAAUCCAAUUAACUACAGCAAGUGUAGAUGCAACAACAAAUCGCGUGUUUCAACUAGCUAUUUAUAUUCAUUUCUUUUAUGUGGUUUGAUAAAUGCAUCAAAAAUUAAUUACAAAUCGAUGAAAAUGCUAGUUAAUAAUUUAUGUAAUAACUUACAAUAGCUUGUUGAGUAAGAAAGGUUAUGAAAUGCUUUCCCACUGUUGACAUUUCCCC